Molecule: ribosomal RNA, 559 nt
Filed under: uncultured bacterium
Lineage: Bacteria
Description: bacterial SSU rRNA
Rfam family: Bacterial small subunit ribosomal RNA
Source: RNAcentral
GGGAAACUGCCCGAUGGAGGGGGAUAACUACUGGAAACGGUAGCUAAUACCGCAUAACGUCGCAAGACCAAAGUGGGGGACCUUCGGGCCUCACACCAUCGGAUGUGCCCAGAUGGGAUUAGCUAGUAGGUGGGGUAAUGGCUCACCUAGGCGACGACCCCUAGCUGGUCUGAGAGGAUGACCAGCCACACUGGAACUGAGACACGGUCCAGACUCCUACGGGAGGCAGCAGUGGGGAAUAUUGCACAAUGGGCGCAAGCCUGAUGCAGCCAUGCCGCGUGUAUGAAGAAGGCCUUCGGGUUGUAAAGUACUUUCAGCGGGGAGGAAGGCGGUGGAGUUAAUAACUUCACCGAUUGACGUUACCCGCAGAAGAAGCACCGGCUAACUCCGUGCCAGCAGCCGCGGUAAUACGGAGGGUGCAAGCGUUAAUCGGAAUUACUGGGCGUAAAGCGCACGCAGGCGGUCUGUCAAGUCGGAUGUGAAAUCCCCGGGCUUAACCUGGGAACUGCAUUCGAAACUGGCAGGCUAGAGUCUUGUAGAGGGGGGUAGAAUUCCAGGU